GAGUUUGAUCUUGGCUCAGGACGAACGCUGGCGGCGCGCCUAACACAUGCAAGUCGAGGGGCAUCGGGAAGAAAGCUUGCUUUCUUUGCCGGCGACCGGCGCACGGGUGAGUAACACGUAUCCAACCUGCCCUUUACUCGGGGAUAGCCCUUCGAAAGAAAGAUUAAUACCCGAUAGUAUAAUGAUUCCGCAUGGUUUCAUUAUUAAAGGAUUCCGGUAAAGGAUGGGGAUGCGUUCCAUUAGGUUGUUGGUGAGGUAACGGCCCACCAAGCCUUCGAUGGAUAGGGGGUUCUGAGAGGAAGGUCCCCCACAUUGGAACUGAGACACGGUCCAAACUCCUACGGGAGCAGCAGUGAGGAAUAUUGGUCAAUGGGCGCUAGCCUGAACCAGCCAAGUAGCGUGAAGGAUGAAGGCUCUAUGGGUCGUAAACUUCUUUUAUAUAAGAAUAAAGUGCAGUAUGUAUACUGUUUUGUAUGUAUUAUAUGAAUAAGGAUCGGCUAACUCCGUGCCAGCAGCCG
Molecule: ribosomal RNA, 518 nt
Filed under: uncultured bacterium
Lineage: Bacteria
Description: bacterial SSU rRNA
Rfam family: Bacterial small subunit ribosomal RNA
Source: RNAcentral